Mus pahari (shrew mouse) is the source of this 1779-nucleotide long non-coding RNA. RefSeq lists it as uncharacterized. Lineage: Eukaryota; Metazoa; Chordata; Mammalia; Rodentia; Muridae. The transcript is spliced from 3 exons. The record is from RefSeq and is a predicted model, not a curated record.
CACUAGCAAUGGUUAUAUUCAACAUACACUGAGCACUUGCCUGUUCUAGAAACUAUGCUGUACCUAUCUACAAAUUGUCUCAUUUAAAACUCAGAACAAGCCUACAAGAGCACCCUUCUAGUCACAAAUAGAACUCGCUAUCUCUGAGCUAGCACAUUUCUAACGAAUGGUGCAUGCCUCCCAGCACCAGAGAGAAACUGCUUUUAUAAACAGUGUAAUUCUUCACCACCACUCUUCCUGAUGCCACCCCCAUCAUAGGAAGGGACCCAAAGUCACCAGGCAGUGAGUAUAUCAGUGUUUAAACUGAAUAUCUGACGACAAGAACAGCAACCUGGUGUGUCGUGACUGCCUAUGGCAGGACAUCACCCAGUCAUUUACUUGACACCAGCAUCUGAAAACCUUCAGAGAAGACUAAGCCAUCUUCCAGGGCAGGCAGCAGAACAAACCCCAGGGCAGCUGAGAAUGCCUCUUCCUACUACUUCUCUGGUGGCUCCGGAACAGGUCCUGGGACACCGUGUGCCAUGCUCUUGCAUGCUUCUUUUAUGCCCCAAGACUUGCCCUCGUUGAUCCCGGUCUUCAGAACACACCAAACAUGGGUUACUCUCCAGCUCAAAAUCAGUAUCUUUCACAUUGUUACCCAGUGGCCUAUUUGCAAAUGCACCCCUCACAAUUCCACCCAAAAAUCUGAGCUCAGAGGAUCCAGAGACCUUGUGUGGAUGAAAUGACUUGGCCAAGGUUACCAAGAAAUACCAUUAACGAUGAAACUAAAGCCUGAGGCACCUUCUUGAUGAAUCAUUGAUGUGCAGGGAGCUCAGCCCACCAUGGGUAGUGCCAUGUAUAAAAGGCUGGUUGAACAAGCCGUGGUGAGUAAGCCAUACUAAGCCCCACUCCUCCAUGGCCUUUGCUUCAGUUCCUGCCUCCAGGGUCCUGCCCAACUUCCUGCUGUGACUUCCUUCAUAAUUGACUAUAAACUAUAAACCGAAAAAAAGAAAAUCCUUCCCCAAAUGACUUUGCUCAUGUUUAUCACAACAAUAGACACAAAACUACGACACGGGGUCUUUGGCCACGCAGCAGAGUCACUGUAAUGAGAAUUCUAACGCCUACCCUUUGUACGCUGGUUAUUCUACUGUGUUCCUUCAUCGCUCCCUGAAUUGAGCCUCCAAACAAAGCUGCAAGAUCAAUUAGAGAACACAUAAAAUGAGCUACUUAAUUUAUGUUUCUCAGAGGGAUAUAAAACAUUUGGCUCACAGGCUUUUAAGACGGGUCAGAGAACAUAAAACUAUAUUUAAUAAGUACAAUGUACUAAAAAUAUCCUUUAGUGAGACAGACUGAUUCGAUUAAAGGGCACCGGUUUCAGGAAAAAAUGGGGAAGCCAGAUGUUGGACCCUCUCAGCCCCAAUCUCAACCAUGCAGGCUUAACCGGACAACUGUUCUGUCAUCUAUACAAUGAGGUGGGUAGCUUCAACAUCCUGCCUUCUUUUCCCAGCUGAUGGCCAACUUCAUCUGCCCAGGCAGAGAGACAGAUUCCACAGAAAAUCUGAGAUCUAAUGCUAUACGCCCAACAGACAUACCAAGCAAGCCACCAUUUAUUUGUCUACUGGCUAAACCUAGGAGUGAAAAACCAGAGCCAGAGCUGUAUAUGUGUUUGGUGAAGUUGGGGAUGCCAGACUCCAAGAUUCGCAUCUCAGAUUCAGGUUAAUGACAAAUGAGGCUACACAUUGACACCCACGCGCUUUGCCGUGCAAAUGAGAUUUCUGUGGCGUCAUAACUUACAAGGGA